This 497-nucleotide ribosomal RNA is filed under the name uncultured bacterium. RNAcentral's name for it is "partial 16S ribosomal RNA". It matches the Rfam family "Bacterial small subunit ribosomal RNA", at positions 28 to 507 of the family's 1533-position model. The record is from RNAcentral.
GAUGAACGCUGGCGGCGUGCCUAAUACAUGCAAGUCGAGCGAACGGGCGAGAAGCUUGCUUCUCUGAUGUUAGCGGCGGACGGGUGAGUAACACGUGGAUAACCUACCUAUAAGACUGGGAUAACUUCGGGAAACCGUAGCUAAUACCGGAUAAUAUUUUGAACCGCAUGGUUCAAAGGUGAAAGACGGUCUUGCUGUCACUUAUAGAUGGAUCCGCGCUGCAUUAGCUAGUUGGUAAGGUAACGGCUUACCAAGGCAACGAUGCAUAGCCGACCUGAGAGGGUGAUCGGCCACACUGGAACUGAGACACGGUCCAGACUCCUACGGGAGGCAGCAGUAGGGAAUCUUCCGCAAUGGGCGAAAGCCUGACGGAGCAACGCCGCGUGAGUGAUGAAGGUCUUCGGAUCGUAAAACUCUGUUAUUAGGGAAGAACAUAUGUGUAAGUAACUGUGCACAUCUUGACGGUACCUAAUCAGAAAGCCACGGCUAACUACGUG